Molecule: non-coding RNA, 1240 nt
Organism: Ciona intestinalis (vase tunicate)
Lineage: Eukaryota; Metazoa; Chordata; Ascidiacea; Phlebobranchia; Cionidae
Source: RefSeq, a predicted model, not a curated record
CGAAUUAAUUAGUAGGGCAGUUCUGUUUUUCACUUAAUCCCUACAGAAAGAGAAAAUAGAAUAACAUGCGAACGGUUUGCCCGCAUUUCAACUCUCGCAUUUUGUGUUCAAAUCCGCCGGUUAAAAUACGAGACGCUUGAAUAAAAGCUGACGAAUUGUUGCACCAGCUGGUUGGUAUGACGUAGAACAUCACGUGGUUGGCAUGCUCUCGCCGCGUGAUAUGAAUAAAUGAAACUUAUUUAUCCUCGUGUGAAAGGGAAACGACAUUGGUUUUAAUACGGUCGUUCUGUUUCAGGCUUACAAGUUACCACCUAUCUAACUUUGUGGGUGUAAAAUGAUGUCAUAUAAUCCCGCAUACGUACAGGUGAUUAUACGAUAACAAAUUGGAAAGAAAGGUCGGCACUAGUGAAAAAUCUUCCAGUACGUUACAGAUUAGGCUGAUGGAAAGUGUUAGAGGGACGAUGAAAAAGAACAACACGUCCCAUUUUACCCUAACCUAUUGAACCAUCUUACCCCAACCUACUAAAUUUACCUCACUGGCUGAAUAUUGGUAUUUCGGCCAAUCACCAUACGCAUCAUUCACCCCGUUCGAAGGUACGCCAUUAUGUGCAAAAUUGCCCCAAAACGCUUGGAAGAUGCUGCUUGCUAUGGUGUCGUUGUCGACGGAAUUUCGACUCGAAUCUUUGGACUACACUCAGUCGCUGUAACCACAGUCCUAUGGUGCCAAACAUUUUAAUUAAAACCUACCCGAAGCUCGGACCGGAUCCGAACACGAACACGACCUCGGAUCCAUGGAACGAAGUCCCGCAAACUCCAUCUAAGUUUUGUCGUACAGCAUAACAACCAGGGCCACCAUUAGGGUACGAGUUGUCGUAUAAGUAGAUUUCCUUUCCCCUGCUACUGUUUGAAGCAAACCUGAAAAAAAAAUAUUGAACAAGUGAAAAAAUCCCGCACUUACAAAGUCAAAUACGUGGUAAAUCGGAAACGGGUACGAGGUGUAUGAACACCCGUGUUUUAUAACGACUGUCGUUAAUUUCCCGCCAUGCGAGGAUAAAUAUGUUAUACUUUCAUUAGUAUGAAGCAAGAUAUAUACUGUUCGCACAUAAACCACAUACAGUAUUUCCUAAUCGUGUUUUAACAAUUAACAACGCUCUUUUAGAGUCGUAAAAUCUACGGUUGUAUAAUUAUGUAAAUAUUCUUUAUUUUAUAAUAAACGAGAAUAAAACAUAGACCAUGUUAC